AUUCAUUGAAGUCUCCAACAGAAGGCUAGCCACAGACACACCAUUGUCAGAUAACGUCUGCCUCCAGAAGUAGAUGCAAGAUGGGAAUGUAGCCCAGCUUAGGAUUCAAAGAUGUCUUCUCCAUCAACAGUGUCGCUGCAGACACACCAUUGUCAGAUGAAGUCUACCUCUCCAGAAGUAGAUGCAAGAUUGGAGUGCAGCCCGGCUUAGGAUCAGAUGAUGUCGUCUCCUUUAACAGGCUAGCUAUAGAAGCCAAUUGUCAGAUGAAGUCUACUUCUCAAGAAGUAUGAUGCACGAUGGGAAUACAGCCCAACUUCAAGAUUCAAUGAUGUCUUCUCCAUCAACAGUGUUCAGUAACUUGUGAUGUUGGUAUCAAAGUCCGAACCAUUACAUGGUUGAGACAUCAACCUGAUGGCAGCUCACCAUUGGUGGAGUUUAGACUGUGUCCUCAAUCAAGUCAACCAUCACAUACAGAGUUCUGCCAACAAAAGCCAUGUACAGGCUAGCUACAAUCAUACCAUUGCCAGAUGAAGAAGUCUACCUCACCAGAAGUAGAUGCAUGAUGGGAAUGCAGCCCAGCUUAGGAUUCAACGAUGUCUUCUUCAACAGAAGGCUAGCUACAGAAACGUCAUUGUCAGAUGAAGUCUGCCUCUCCAGAAGUAGAUGCAUGAUGGGAAUAUAACCCAGCUGCAAGAUUCCAAUGAUGUCUUCUCCAUCAACAGCCUAGCCGCAGACACACCAUUGUCAGACGAAGUCUACCUCUCCAGAAGUAGAUGCAAGAUUGGAAUGCAGCCCAGCUCAGGAUUCAAUGAUGUUUUCUCCAACCCAAGAAAGGGUUGUCAUCUCCACAAAGAUUUACUCAUCAACCAAGAAGAUGUCUGAGACCUGCAGUUGAUGAUCUUCCUAACAGCGUACAAUGAUCCUGGAAAAGGAACUGCUCUCUCCUUUAUAAAGGAUGGUGUCUACCUGUCACCUAGAAGAUUUCCGAGACCUGCAACUGCGUAUAGUCAGCCCACUGUCUACACAUCACCAGUUAAGAUGUGUGAGGGUUACGCAAGAGGAAGGUAAAAUACCUGUGGUUGUUUUACACUAACAUCAAAGGGUGGUCUGUUUUUGCAGCACUCAUACCAACAGAAUAUCUCGUCACAUACCACAACAUUUUUGGGGAUGAAUGCUGGCAUCAGCCUAACCCGAAAUGCGAGGUCUGUCCCUACAGAUUGAUUACAGAUUUAAAAGAUAGGAAACAUGUUUUUGAUUAACAAAACCCCUUUAACUGUACAGAAAUACAAUUUUAAAUAAUUAAAAAGCUUUUUAGUAUGAACCAUUGAUAUGUUUACUUGAGUUAAAUCAUAACUAGGAAUGAAAUUAUUUUGCAUUGUAUGAUGAUAAGUAAAAGAUCUGGAAUGUGCUGAACACCAUGCCUGACCUAAAACAAAUUUACACAAAUUUAGUUCAGGCAAAUCAGAUCCAAUUUGUUUAAGGUACACUUUGGCAAAAUUGAUUUGAAGAUUUAAAUGUUGUAUUAAUUGAAUCAUCAUUAAAGGCAGUGGACACUA
Molecule: long non-coding RNA, 1556 nt
Organism: Asterias rubens (European starfish)
Lineage: Eukaryota; Metazoa; Echinodermata; Asteroidea; Forcipulatida; Asteriidae
Exons: 10
Source: RefSeq, a predicted model, not a curated record